AACAUCACUUUAAGUCUGUGC
RNAcentral lists this microRNA (21 nucleotides) under Gadus morhua (Atlantic cod). RNAcentral's name for it is "gmo-miR-499-3p". Its record names the gene gmo-miR-499-3p. The record is from miRBase by way of RNAcentral. Lineage: Eukaryota; Metazoa; Chordata; Actinopteri; Gadiformes; Gadidae. RNAcentral also lists the same sequence under 1 other name.